AUUGAACGCUGGCGGCAGGCCUAACACAUGCAGGUCGAAUGGUAACAGGAAACAGCUUGCUGUUUCGCUGACGAGUGGCGGACGGGUGAGUAAUGUCUGGGAAACUGCCUGAUGGAGGGGGAUAACUACUGGAAACGGUAGCUAAUACCGCAUAACGUCGCAAGACCAAAGAGGGGGACCUUCGGGCCUCUUGCCAUCAGAUGUGCCCAGAUGGGAUUAGCUAGUAGGUGGGGUAACGGCUCACCUAGGCGACGAUCCCUAGCUGGUCUGAGAGGAUGACCAGCCACACUGGAACUGAGACACGGUCCAGACUCCUACGGGAGGCAGCAGUGGGGAAUAUUGCACAAUGGGCGCAAGCCUGAUGCAGCCAUGCCGCGUGUAUGAAGAAGGCCUUCGGGUUGUAAAGUACUUUCAGCGGGGAGGAAGGGAGUAAAGUUAAUACCUUUGCUCAUUGACGUUACCCGCAGAAGAAGCACCGGCUAACUCCGUG
RNAcentral lists this ribosomal RNA (490 nucleotides) under uncultured bacterium. RNAcentral's name for it is "partial 16S ribosomal RNA". It matches the Rfam family "Bacterial small subunit ribosomal RNA", at positions 30 to 507 of the family's 1533-position model. The record is from RNAcentral.